AUGACAAUGGGGGGGCACUCAGGUUUUCCGGUGAUCUACCGCCACAUCAGAAGACUGUUUGCCUGGCCAAAGAUGAAAGUGCAUAUCUUGCAAUAUGUGCGCUGCUGUCAAGUGUGUCAACAGGCCAAACCUGACCGUAGUGCAUCUCCGGGCCUGCUCAUGCCGCUGCCUAUACCUCAAGAAUCAUGGGACUUGAUCACCAUGGACUUCGUGGAUGGUUUGCCACAGUCAGGACAAUUCAAUUGCCUUCUGGUAGUGGUGGACAAACGUACCAGGUUCGCUCAUUUUCUGCCCCUAGCGCAUCCUUACACUGCAUCCAAGGUGGCCUUGCUUUACAUGCAGCAGCUCUACAAACUGCACGGAUUUCUUGGUGCAAUUGUAUCUGAUCGUGAUCCAGUUUUCACUAGCCAUUUUUGGCAAGAGCUGUUCAAGUAUGCAGGCACGGAACUGCGCCUGAGCACGGCAAAUCACCCACAAACGGAUGGCCAGACCGAGAGGGUGAACCAAUGCAUCGAGACAUACUUGCGGUGUUUCGUCCAGGCGUGUCCAAAACGCUGGAGCUUCUGGAUACCACUGUCACAGUUCUGGUACAAUACCUCGCACCACUCGGCGAUCGGCAUGACCCCAUUCAAGGCCAUGUUUGGACGUGAGCCAAGGCAUUGGGGGAUUACAGCUACAACAUCAUGCACAGUGCCCGCGCUGCAAUCUUGGCUCGAGGAGCGAACCGUCAUGCAAGGGGUUAUCCAGCAACAGCUGCACCGAGCACGUCAACUAAUGAAGGACCAGGCUGACAAAAAGCGCUCGUUCAGGCAGUUCCAAGUGGGCGAUCAAGUCUUCCUCAAGCUUCAACCGUACAUCCAGACUUCGGUGGCUCCAAGGGCAAAUCACAAACUGUCGUACAAGUUCUACGGACCAUUCCCGAUCAUCGCCAAGAUCAACGACGUCGCCUACGAACUCAAGCUACCCCCUCAAGCUACGGUGCAUCCAGUCUUCCACGUCUCCCAGCUCCGACAAGCUCUUCUACCGGGCACAACGGCAUCCACUACGCUUCCACCACAAGAAGACCUUGCGGUGCCUGUUGCGGUGCUGCAAUCAAGAUGGCGCGAGAAGAACUGUGCUAUGAAGGAGCAAGUGCAAGUCCAAUGGUCUGUUCCUGCGGUUGGUACCACCUGGGAAGACGAAGAAGCACUCCAAGCUCGGUUUCCGCACGCAGAGGCUUGGGGACAAGCCUCUUCCGAAGAAGGAGGGGGUGUUAGCGCCCCUGACCAGCAUACCCCACCUGCCAUUCCAUCAUCAAGGCCCAGGCGUGCCCCCAGGCCCAACCCAUGCUACGUUGGCCCAGAAUGGAGGAACCAGUGGCCCAAGAGCAAGGGUGUACUUAAGCCGGCGCCCGGGGCUGGCUAG
Molecule: ribosomal RNA, 1404 nt
Filed under: Triticum aestivum (bread wheat)
Lineage: Eukaryota; Viridiplantae; Streptophyta; Magnoliopsida; Poales; Poaceae
Description: partial small subunit ribosomal RNA
Source: RNAcentral